GAGAGCAGAAACGUGAAACAAAGCAGGAGAGGCAAAAACGGAGAGAGAGAGAAGAGAGAGAGAGGGAGGGAGACGCAGCAGUAUCGGCAAGCACCGUCCUCCGUUCUUCAUUGUCCUCCACAAUCAUCGGCCAUUGUUGUCUGCCGGAACAAAACGAAGAGAGAAGAAGAAAUCUUUUGAGAAGAAAGUCUGUCCUCAGCCAUUGUUGUCCGCCGGAGCUCCCUCACGCCAUAGAUUGAACCAGGCAAAGCAGAUUCAAGGUCCGAUUUUGGAGUGCAUUCUUGAAUUUCAGGUUGAUGUUGUCACAACAUGUAGUGUUGCAGAUGAGCAAAACUACUCACUGGUACGAAUGAUCACUAUGGAGGUGUUAUCGUGGAGAUAACAACUGAGCCCAAGGACGCUGCUGUGUUUGUUUUUCUGCUCAGAACUUUGGUUUCACAUUGGAAGCAACAGGUAGCAUUUACAUUUUUGUUUGAAUUCAACUCCAAUUUCUUUGUUUUAAUGGCAUUCCUAUCGAAAAUGUAAGUGAAAGUAUUCCUUU
Camellia sinensis is the source of this 541-nucleotide long non-coding RNA. RefSeq lists it as uncharacterized. The record is from RefSeq and is a predicted model, not a curated record. NCBI's taxonomy places the organism in Eukaryota, Viridiplantae, Streptophyta, Magnoliopsida, Ericales, Theaceae.